CCUACGGGAGGCUGCAGUGGGGAAUAUUGCGCAAUGGGCGAAAGCCUGACGCAGCGACGCCGCGUGAGGGAUGAAGGUCUUCGGAUCGUAAACCUCUGUCAGCAGGGAAGAACGGUCACUGUGCUAAUCAGCAGUGAAUUGACGGUACCUGCAAAGGAAGCACCGGCUAACUCCGUGCCAGCAGCCGCGGUAAUACGGAGGGUGCGAGCGUUAAUCGGAAUUACUGGGCGUAAAGCGCUCGUAGGCGGUAUGUCAAGUCAAGGGUGAAAGCCCCGCGCUCAACGUGGGAACUGCCUUUGAAACUGGGAAACUGGAGUGUGUGAGAGGAUAGUGGAAUUCCAGGUGUAGGAGGGAAAUCCGUAGAUAUCUGGAGGAACAUCAGUGGCGAAGGCGACUAUCUGGCACAUAACUGACGCUGAGGAGCGAAAGCGUGGGUAGCAAACAGGAUUAGAUACCCGGGUAGUC
This 465-nucleotide ribosomal RNA is filed under the name uncultured bacterium. RNAcentral's name for it is "partial 16S ribosomal RNA". It matches the Rfam family "Bacterial small subunit ribosomal RNA", at positions 338 to 795 of the family's 1533-position model. The record is from RNAcentral.